Molecule: small RNA, 1160 nt
Filed under: Pongo abelii (Sumatran orangutan)
Lineage: Eukaryota; Metazoa; Chordata; Mammalia; Primates; Hominidae
Description: retained intron
Source: RNAcentral
GUUGUGCUGGGCUGUCUCUCAGCUCUGUACACAGUUGGAGCUUUUGAAAAACAAGCUGAGGGCAGAAGGUGCAAGAGAUGGGAGUCUGUAGACGGUCCUUAUGGGAUCAGCUUCGACAGCUGUGCUGAGGCCCUGCUAGCCCGCCUGGGUCUCUCCGGAGCAGACCUCACUCAAGUGGAACUAAGCCAUGGGGGGUGUGGGCCCUGAGGCCAGGCGUGGUGCUGGUGCUGCGUGCAGGGCUCACACCAGCAGAUACCCCCGCCGACCCCCCGCCUCUGUGUUUCCAGCCACCGGCUCCUUCCAGGCUGCGCCUGAGGGAGCUGGUUCACAUGGGCCCUCACGACUCCAAGGGGCAGCUUGGAGAGCGGGUGGACAGGCCUCCCAGGCCGAGGCUCUCCUGUCGCCAGGGUCCCUGUAAUUUACGCAGGACCCUUCUGGGGGUGACUGGGCACGUGAACAGCUCCACAGAGCAUGCUCCAAGCACCCAGCUCUCCUCUGCUGGCAAGUUGGCACAGGUGCUGGCUGUCACCUGGCCUGUCACAGGGACAGUGACGUCCCCAUCACUAUGCCCAAAUAUGCAGGUGUGAAUGCCUCCCUCUGCCUUUCCCAGCCAGGGUGUCGGCGCCGAGCUGAUGGGGCUGCAGGUGGACUACUGGACGGCAGCACAGCCCGCGGACAGGAAGAGGGACGCCGAGAAGAAGGACCUGCCUGUCACCAAAAACACGCUCAAGUGCACUUUCCGGUCCCUCCAGGUCAGCAGGCUGCCCAGCAGCGGCGAGGCUGCGGCCACGCCCACCAUGUCCAUGACCGUGGUCACCAAGGAGAAGAACAAGAAGGUGAUGUUUCUGCCCAAGAAAGCGAAGGACAAGGACGUGGAGUCUAAGAGCCAGUGCAUUGAGGGCAUCAGCCGGCUCAUCUGCACUGCCAGGCAGCAGCAGAACAUGCUGCGGGGUGAGCAUCACGGGCCCUGGGGUCUGUAGAGUGGGACGUAGGUGAGAGCACAGCAACGCUGCUUUUGGAGCCCACCAUAGGAGCUGCGGGUGUCUUGCUGUGACACGCACAUUCCACGAUUCAAGGUGCAAGCACAUUCGAUGAAGCCCUCAGUGAGGCUGACAACCUUCCAAAUGCUGAGAAAGAAUUUUUUUUCAACCCUUUUUGCU